This 29-nucleotide transfer RNA is filed under the name Apis mellifera (honey bee). RNAcentral's name for it is "partial tRNA-Leu". Lineage: Eukaryota; Metazoa; Arthropoda; Insecta; Hymenoptera; Apidae. The record is from RNAcentral.
CUUUUAUUAAAAUUAAUUAAUAUAAAAUA